UGACAGCAUUUUGUGUUCGAUUUCUAUUUCGCAAACAAUACGCAAAACGAUGGCGCUUAGCAUUUUUACUGAGAGCGAAGCGCCACGGGAUUUUCGUGUUUCAUCUACUGAGAGUGACGGCCAUUAUAAGAAAUGCCUUUUGUGCUAUACAGUGAAGAAAAACUUCUACUGCCCGGAUUGUAUACGAACUGGGAACUUCGUGCACUCUUCCAUGCCUUACUCGGACAGAUUUUCAGAAAAACAAGCAAAAUCACUUAGGUUAAAGGCAAACAGAAAACAUGUUCUUGAACGUUGUGAGAAACUAUUGGCACCAAAAAUAAAACAAGAUGCACUCUUGACAGAGGCUAAACAAUCCAGAGAUAAAAUAGAUUUACUUAGACUAGCAAUAGAACAAAGGAGAAACAAUAUAGAUGAGAAAAAGAAGGAGCUAUCAGAGUUGACAGUGUAUAACAAUGAGUUACGGUUGAAACUGCCUCGGUACCAAAAGAGGGUGACAAGUUUAGGUAAACACGUGCAUAACCAAUGUAUGGAGUUGCAGAAUAAAGUGAGCAUGUACAAUGACCAGGCGCAAGCGUUGGCAGCACUACGGAGAUCUCGGAUACGACAGCUCACUAAAUAUAUUUUUCCUGUGUAUAUGACGUAUGAUUCUAGUGAUAGCAUAGAAGACAUGGAGUUUGUAGGGGAUGACUUAGAUGAGGAACCGUUGAAGAAGGCGCAGCUGCAUAUUGUGGCGCCCUGGAUCAAUGCCGACUGCGACUUCUCCCAUCUAGAGGACUAUGUAUCCCACAAUAAGGACUCAGGCAGCGGUCCAGGCGCCGUGACGGGGCCCCCUAUCCCGCUGGUCCGUUGGGCGAACGCGCUGGGUUUGUGUGCGCAGCUGGUCGCGUUAAUCGCGUACACGCUGGAUGCACGGUUGCCGUAUGCGCUUGCACUCAAAGUGGAGGGCUGGAUGGGCGCCUCCCUGUCGGAGGCGUGGGCGGCGUGGUCCGAGGCGGCGGGCGAGGAGCCGGCCGCGGAGCCGGAGGACGAGCCGCCGGAGCAUCUGCACUGGCCCGAGCCGCAGGAGAUGGAGGAGAUGAGCAGCUCCCCGCCUGCGCCGGCGCCGUCGCUCGUGACGUCGGCCGCCGCCUCGCUCGUGUCCAUGUGGCGCGGGUGGACCAAGUGACCAUACAUUAUACUCAACAUUACGUAAUAAACUGUCAAUAUAUACCUACUACACAUCACAAGACAAAACCUGACACAUCGGAAUGGCGCAUACAGGGUGAUAGUGACACAGUAAGGUGAUUCAGCUCACGAUUCUUAUGAGUCUUUAACGACGUCGUUAUUUUUCUUAACUUUAUCGUCAUCGUAACGAUAACGUUAUCGUAAACGUUCGUUAAUAUCGUUAACGUCAUUGUUAAAUUUGUUAAAAUUAUCAUUAUCGUUAACAUCAUUAACCUCUUACCUGGAUAGACCAACCGGUAAUGCUUGUUAAAAUUUUUGUAAUUACAAUAAUUUUUAAAUAACGACUAAUCUAAUUAUUGCAUUCUAAUAAAUUAACUAGAUAACUGAUAAUGUUGUCAAUAUUCUAUCUUCAGAUACGUAUAUUAAUAUUGUUUCUGACUUAUUCUCUUACGUUAUUUCGUUAUCUUAACACUUUCACUGACAACGUCUAUAGCCAAUGUCCCGAUCCUAUAAAUGAGGUCAAUGACUUGUGAUCGACAUCCGUGAGUGUUAAAAUAAAAUAUGAUACAAUCAGUGCCCGUUUCUUGCCACUAAAGUUUUCGCACUACUCCGAUCCGAGUCCGCCAAAUUACCGUAGAACUAUUUGUACGGUAGCUUACGAACUACAUCCGUCAUCUAUCCGAUAUAUCAAAUUUUCUACUGUCUAUUCUCGGACUUGGAUCGGAUAAGAAUCGAGGGCCUUAUUUUUGAAUCACUCACCUUUAAAUUCGAGUUCGAAAUAUAUGCCCAUUGUCGCGUACCAUACGUAAUCAUGUAAGAUCACGAAUUAUCUGAAUUCUGAAUCACACUGUUAUUUCUUUUGUGAUCUUGGGGUUAAAAAGGCCAC
RNAcentral lists this unclassified non-coding RNA (2050 nucleotides) under Pectinophora gossypiella (pink bollworm). Its description in RNAcentral is "beclin 1-associated autophagy-related key regulator". The record is from RNAcentral. Lineage: Eukaryota; Metazoa; Arthropoda; Insecta; Lepidoptera; Gelechiidae.